GAUGAAGAACGUAGCGAAAUGCGAUAAGUAAUGUGAAUUGCAGAAUUCAGUGAAUCAUCGAAUCUUUGAACGCACCUUGCGCUCCUUGGUAUUCCGAGGAGCAUGCCUGUUUGAGUGUCAUUAAUAUAUCAACCUCUUCAGCUUAUGCUUGUUGAGUGUUGGAUGGUGGGGGUUUGCUGGUGUCUUAUGAAGUCAGCUCCUCUGAAAUGCAUUAGCGGAACAAUUUGUUGACCGUUCAUUGGUGUGAUAAAAAUAUCUACGCUAUUGACGUCAGUCAGUUCAGCUUCUAACAGUCCAUUGACUUGGACAAAUUUCUCAUUAAUGUGACCUCAAAUCAGGUAGGACUACCCGCUGAACUUAAGCAUAUCAAUAAGCGGAGGA
RNAcentral lists this unclassified non-coding RNA (381 nucleotides) under soil metagenome. RNAcentral describes it as "partial contains 5.8S ribosomal RNA, internal transcribed spacer 2, and large subunit ribosomal RNA". The stretch from base 1 to 120 matches the Rfam family "5.8S ribosomal RNA", at positions 35 to 154 of the family's 154-position model. The record is from RNAcentral.